ACGUCUCUCCUCUUCAACUCUAUUAUAUAUCUUAGCUUAAAACACAAUCACCAUUGUUAAAAAGGCCGAGUAUGAAACCUUCAGUACAGAUCUCCGGCGAUGGUUCUCUGGCUGAAGAACCAAAGAGAACUACUGUCGGAGAAAAGCUCAGGCAGGCUAGAGAGGUGGCUGUAACAGCCAUAGCCAAGUCCAGGGCUAAUUGGGAGGCACGUAGUGUUCCAAUUUCCAAAGAACUUGAGAGACGAAAGUGGAGCUACAGAGCCGAAGAUCCAAUAAGAACUCUGAUGUUCUUGGGAGCAUGGAGUCACACUUAAAACAAAUUAUUUUUAAUCGCAGCUUGCAUGAAUUCGAGUAGUAUUGACUUGGAAGAUCAAGUAAAAAGAUUUAUGAGAAAAAUCUCUACAUUAUGUAUGAUAUAUGGAGGUUAGUACUGCAGGGCGGCUCAUGUAGCAAGAAAUUAAUUAAUGCACAUAAUGUAUUAAUUGAAUUCAAUAUAUAUAGUUGUAUCAACCAGAAAUCAAGAGCUAGCUAGCUAUGUAUAAAAUGGGGCCAAAAAAAAAACAAAAAAUGAAAUGUUGUCGUCUCUUUAAUAAAACCUAUAUCUCAUGUGUUUUGAUGAUGUGUAAAGUGGUUGAUGUUUUGGUUAGAUCGAAUUUCAUUUACAAAUACAAGAAUAUAUAUAUA
Juglans microcarpa x Juglans regia is the source of this 684-nucleotide long non-coding RNA. RefSeq lists it as uncharacterized. Lineage: Eukaryota; Viridiplantae; Streptophyta; Magnoliopsida; Fagales; Juglandaceae. The record is from RefSeq and is a predicted model, not a curated record. The transcript is spliced from 2 exons.